This is a long non-coding RNA of Zalophus californianus (California sea lion), 1063 nucleotides long. RefSeq lists it as uncharacterized. The transcript is spliced from 4 exons. The record is from RefSeq and is a predicted model, not a curated record. NCBI's taxonomy places the organism in Eukaryota, Metazoa, Chordata, Mammalia, Carnivora, Otariidae.
GCGGGGCGAGGAAAGCAUACUUACCUGGCAGGGGAGAUACCAUGAUCACGAAGGUGGUUUUCCCAGGGCGAGGCUUAUCCAUUGCACUCCGGAUGUGCUGACCCCUGCGAUUUCCCCAAAUGUGGGAAACUCGACUGCAUAAUUUGUGGUAGUGGGGGACUGCGUUCGCGCUUUCCCCUGCAUUUUUCUCUUUCUGGUGUGCACCAAAAGAAGGCCGCUUGAGGGUUGACUUUUUCUUUUUUUUCUUACCGCGUGGCCGGUUCUGAUUUGUUCUUUUACUCCUCGGAAGGCCUGCCGUGGGGAUUGUGUGUUGUUUCUUCUUUGACGGUGGGGGACGUUUCUGAGCCCCGGCUUUAUGGGCGUUUGCUCGGGCGCUACGCUGCAAGGCAGGCAUUUGCUUUCGCGAGAGAGAGAGACUUGCUCAGAGAAGGGAAGUGCUCCGCUGGGGGCUGCGAGUCUUUAGGCGGGGGGUGUGUUUUUUUUUCCCUACGCGUUGCAGCCGGCGAGGGAGAAAAAUGCGGCUCGUGCGUGCGGUCGCUCAUCAACUGAGAACCCGGAGAUCCAGACGAGGCAAGUCACAGGUGGUUGCGAGUGACCUUGAGGGCCCCGCCCCCCCGCGCCCUGAUGCGAAUGCAAGCUUACUUCUCACGAACGACGCCGGCGGUUUUAGCUUAACACUGAGAUCUGGAAGAUGGGCCGGGAACAAAACUCGCACGCAGGGUUGACCAGAAUGAAAGGUGCCUCCCCCCGCCCCCCAUUCGAACGUUGAAGACCUAUGUGACUGUAUGUGGAGAUAAGGUCUUUAAGGAGGGAGGAUUCACUGGGUUGGCAGGAGAUUUCAUUUUCCCCAACAAUCUGGCAUUGAAAGCACGACUGGUCUGGCGGUUCUGGAUUUGAGUCAGCUAAAAUGUCUUGUGGCCACACAACAGUAAACCAGCCCUACCAAUCCAGAUUACAAGCAAAGCCAAGACCAUUGAGAAGCCACAGCCUCCAAUACCUUGUCCUUCACGUGCCCUUCUCACCCGCUGUUAUCAUCUGAAGGCUUUUCAGUGCCCCAGGCACU